AGUGGUGGAUCUCACAUAGACCCUAGAAUGCACAGAUUCCUCUGUGUCAUCACUGCUCCAAAGGAACCCUCUUCCUCCUUGCCAUAAUGUCAGUGACUCCACUGUUUACAUCAAUCUUCUGUUUUUCUGGCUGUGCUGACUUCUCUGCCUACUCAGACUUUACUGGUUGAAAAAAAAAUCUAGCAGCCUAGAAGAGCAAACCAAAGAGCAAGAAAAGAAAUUUUGUCUCCACAUAGCUUUUGUGUCUCUGAUUUUGAAAAUGUUCCCCCUCAGAUAAAGAACCAAGGGACCAAUAGGAGUUGAGGAAAUGCACUUUGUUCUUUCAAAAUCUGCACAACAGAGACAGGGCGCUGAGAGACAAGGCUGGGUCCUAAAAUGAGAAGACAUGAAGAGCAGAGAGCCAGGCCCUGGAGCAGAAGCACAGCUGAUCAGUUGCCUAUAUGUGACAUGAGAGAGAAAUAUUGGUGGGGAAAUCUACUCAGAUUUCUUCUUUUAC
This 496-nucleotide long non-coding RNA is filed under the name Equus asinus (donkey). RNAcentral's name for it is "lncRNA (ENSEASG00005030858.1)". The record is from RNAcentral. Lineage: Eukaryota; Metazoa; Chordata; Mammalia; Perissodactyla; Equidae.